UAUAGUGAGUUAAAUGUUGGAACAGGAGGAUAUAAUAAUUUAUAUUCAGGCUUAUAUUCAAGCUAUAAUUCUAACUGAACUUUUUUAGAUCCAUCCAUCCAUCUCUUCCGUUUUUCCUUAUCAGGGUUGUUGGGGGGCCUGGAGCCAGCCGUCAUAGGAUCCUGACAGUGCUGAAUCAAAGAGGCAACUUUGAACUCCUAUCAGAUAUCUGCUGGGGGAGAGAAGGAGGAGGAGGAGAGAGUGAAGGUGGAGGAAAAGAGUAUUUUUCACAUGGACUUUCUGUGAAAGAAGCUCCGCAUUAAAGAAGUUGAUGACACCAAAUAGCUCCAAGCAUCAGCCCAACCUGUGUCUGCACUGCAUUCAGCUCCACAAUCCUUGAAAACUCCCCGAAGGUUAAAAAACUUCACGAAGUGCCGCAGCUUCCCAGGCAAGUUCUAUUCAACAGCUCCCCCUUGAGAAUAGCAGC
This is a long non-coding RNA of Oreochromis aureus, 466 nucleotides long. RefSeq lists it as uncharacterized. The record is from RefSeq and is a predicted model, not a curated record. Lineage: Eukaryota; Metazoa; Chordata; Actinopteri; Cichliformes; Cichlidae. The transcript has 3 exons.